Molecule: unclassified non-coding RNA, 1612 nt
Organism: Megachile rotundata (alfalfa leafcutting bee)
Lineage: Eukaryota; Metazoa; Arthropoda; Insecta; Hymenoptera; Megachilidae
Source: RefSeq, a predicted model, not a curated record
ACAGAAGAUAGGAAAACGCAUGUCUAAGUUUCUGUUGUACUCGUUACUUUAUGAAAUGGUCGUUUCUGUAAACGAUAAUUCUAUUAUAAUAAAAUUAUUUGAUAAUUGAAAGUACACCAAAUCUUAGCUUUACUGUACAGUGAAAGAGGGAGCUGAAGGCGUUAAUGUUGAAAUGAAUUAAUCCUUUCAUAUUACAAUUUGCUUAAUUUAAGGAUUCGGUUUAUUAUUUGCACGUGACUGUUGCUGUAUGUUAAUUUUAUAAUAGUGUUUUGUAUAUGAUUCAAAGAAAUUCUGCAAAAUGCCGAAAAUACGCAAUGAAAAAAAAUCCCGGAUUCACAAAGAAGUUGCAAAACAGGGAAUUUUAUUUAAUACCAAUAUUGGACAACACAUUUUAAAGAAUCCACUUGUAAUACAAAGUAUGGUUGAGAAGGCUGCACUUAGACCAACAGAUGUUGUACUAGAGAUAGGUCCUGGUACAGGUAACAUGACAGUCAAAUUAUUGGAUAAAGCCAAGAAAGUAAUAGCAUGUGAAGUGGAUACUCGAAUGGUAGCUGAGUUACAAAAACGUGUACAAGGCACUCCAUAUCAGCCCAAAUUACAAAUUAUGAUAGGAGAUGUUUUGAAAACAGACUUGCCAUUUUUUGACUUGUGUGUUGCUAAUAUACCAUACCAAAUAUCAUCCCCACUAGUAUUUAAAUUACUUCUGCACAGACCUUUAUUCAGAUGUGCGGUACUUAUGUUUCAAAGAGAAUUUGCUGAACGUUUAGUGGCAAAACCAGGAGAUAAAUUGUAUUGUCGAUUAAGUAUAAAUACUCAAUUAUUAGCUAGAGUGGAUUUGCUCAUGAAAGUAGGGAAAAAUAAUUUUAGACCACCACCAAAGGUGGAAUCAAAUGUAGUUAGAAUAGAACCACGUAAUCCACCACCACCAGUUAAUUAUCAGGAAUGGGAUGGUUUAACACGAAUAGCAUUUGUUAGAAAGAAUAAAACUCUUUCAGCAGUAUUUAAACAAACUACAGUGUUAACAAUGUUAGAAAAAAAUUAUAAACUUCAUUGUAGUUUGAAUAAUAAGGCUAUACCUGAAGGAUUUGAUAUUAAAGAAUUGAUAAGCAAAAUUUUACAAAAAGCAGAUGCUGAAAACAAACGUGCCAGGACCAUGGAUAUAGAUGAUUUUAUCAGCAUUUUACACGCAUUUAACACGGAAGGAGUGCAUUUUACAUAAUUGGAAUUUUAAUUUAUGUAAAAAAAGGUACACAUUAUACAUGAAGUGAAAGAUGUAAUGUUUACAGAAAAUAAAUUUGUUUAAAUAAUUCAGAACUAAUAUUCUGAAUAAAAUUUAACAUCCAUGUCACGAAUAUUGCAGUGUUCAAGGAAAAAUAAAAAAGUUAAUAUCCACUGAAAAUUGUUUUACGAUUUACAUGCUGCAUAUAUGUAUAGUCUAGAUUUAACAGUUUUAAAUCUGCAUACUUUACAAAAAAAGAUCCAUGUAAACUUUUAAUUAAAUUAUUUGCUCAUUACAUACAUGUAUAUUUACAAACAUUCUUUGGGAAUCAAAAUCGUAAACAAAUAUACUGAACUUUAUUGUACAGUUAUGAAGACCACUGAAGUAAACAAG